Molecule: small nuclear RNA, 18 nt
Filed under: Arabidopsis thaliana (thale cress)
Lineage: Eukaryota; Viridiplantae; Streptophyta; Magnoliopsida; Brassicales; Brassicaceae
Description: snRNA_07733
Source: RNAcentral
CGGAAGGGAGAGGGAGAU